RNAcentral lists this ribosomal RNA (267 nucleotides) under uncultured bacterium. RNAcentral's name for it is "partial 16S ribosomal RNA". It matches the Rfam family "Bacterial small subunit ribosomal RNA", at positions 29 to 288 of the family's 1533-position model. The record is from RNAcentral.
AACGAACGCUGGCGGCGGGCCUCAUACAUGCAAGUCGAGCGCGAAAGUCCGCAAGGAUGAGUAAAGCGGCGCACGGGUGAGUAACACGUGGAUAAUCUACCCUUUGGAUUGGAAUAACCUGUCGAAAGACGGGCUAAUGCCAAGUAAGCUCUCGGAAAUGUGAUGUUUCUGCGAGGAAAGAUGGUGCAAGCUAUCGCCGAAGGAUGAGUCUGCGUCCCAUUAGCUAGUUGGUGGGGUAAAAGCUUACCAAGGCAAUGAUGGGUACCU